RNAcentral lists this ribosomal RNA (499 nucleotides) under uncultured bacterium. Its description in RNAcentral is "partial 16S ribosomal RNA". It matches the Rfam family "Bacterial small subunit ribosomal RNA", at positions 28 to 507 of the family's 1533-position model. The record is from RNAcentral.
GACGAACGCUGGCGGCGUGCUUAACACAUGCAAGUCGAACGGGCCCGCUCUCUUUUUUGGGGGUGGGUUGAGUGGCGAACGGGUGAGUAUCACGUGAGUAACCUGCCCCCUGCUCCUGGAUAACUGCUUGAAAGGGCGGCUAAUACGGGGUGUGCCGGCUGGUCCGCAUGGGCCUGGUCGGGAUAGUUUCAUCUUCGGGUGUUUCGGUGGGGGAUGGGCUCGCGGCCUAUCAGCUUGUUGGUGGGGUGAUGGCCCACCAAGGCGGUGACGGGUAGCCGGCCUGAGAGGGUGGGCGGCCACACUGGGACUGAGACACGGCCCAGACUCCUGCGGGAGGCAGCAGUGGGGGGUAUUGCACAAUGGGCGGAAGCCUGAUGCAGCGACGUCGCGUGAGGGAUGGAGGCCUUCGGGGUGUGAACCUCUUUCUCCGGUGGUGAAGGCCCUGUCCGUUGCGGCGGGGUUGACGGUAGCCGGGUAUGAAGCGCCGGCUAACUACGUG